AGGGUGAGUCGACCCCUAAGGCGAGGCCGAAAGGCGUAGUCGAUGGGAAACAGGUUAAUAUUCCUGUACUUGGUGUUACUGCGAAGGGGGGACGGAGAAGGCUAUGUUGGCCGGGCGACGGUUGUCCCGGUUUAAGCGUGUAGGCUGGUUUUCCAGGCAAAUCCGGAAAACCAAGGCUGAGGCGUGAUGACGAGGCACUACGGUGCUGAAGCGACAAAUGCCCUGCUUCCAGGAAAAGCCUCUAAGCAUCAGGUAACAUCAAAUCGUACCCCAAACCGACACAGGUGGUCAGGUAGAGAAUACCAAGGCGCUUGAGAGAACUCGGGUGAAGGAACUAGGCAAAAUGGUGCCGUAACUUCGGGAGAAGGCACGCUGAUAUGUAGGUGAAGCGACUUGCUCGUGGAGCUGAAAUCAGUCGAAGAUACCAGCUGGCUGCAACUGUUUAUUAAAAACACAGCACUGUGCAAACACGAAAGUGGACGUAUACGGUGUGACGCCUGCCCGGUGCCGGAAGGUUAAUUGAUGGGGUUAGCGGUAACGCGAAGCUCUUGAUCGAAGCCCCGGUAAACGGCGGCCGUAACUAUAACGGUCCUAAGGUAGCGAAAUUCCUUGUCGGGUAAGUUCCGACCUGCACGAAUGGCGUAAUGAUGGCCAGGCUGUCUCCACCCGAGACUCAGUGAAAUUGAACUCGCUGUGAAGAUGCAGUGUACCCGCGGCAAGACGGAAAGACCCCGUGAACCUUUACUAUAGCUUGACACUGAACAUUGAGCCUUGAUGUGUAGGAUAGGUGGGAGGCUUUGAAGUGUGGACGCCAGUCUGCAUGGAGCCGACCUUGAAAUACCACCCUUUAAUGUUUGAUGUUCUAACGUUGGCCCGUAAUCCGGGUUGCGGACAGUGUCUGGUGGGUAGUUUGACUGGGGCGGUCUCCUCCUAAAGAGUAACGGAGGAGCACGAAGGUUGGCUAAUCCUGGUCGGACAUCAGGAGGUUAGUGCAAUGGCAUAAGCCAGCUUGACUGCGAGCGUGACGGCGCGAGCAGGUGCGAAAGCAGGUCAUAGUGAUCCGGUGGUUCUGAAUGGAAGGGCCAUCGCUCAACGGAUAAAAGGUACUCCGGGGAUAACAGGCUGAUACCGCCCAAGAGUUCAUAUCGACGGCGGUGUUUGGCACCUCGAUGUCGGCUCAUCACAUCCUGGGGCUGAAGUAGGUCCCAAGGGUAUGGCUGUUCGCCAUUUAAAGUGGUACGCGAGCUGGGUUUAGAACGUCGUGAGACAGUUCGGUCCCUAUCUGCCGUGGGCGCUGGAGAACUGAGGGGGGCUGCUCCUAGUACGAGAGGACCGGAGUGGACGCAUCACUGGUGUUCGGGUUGUCAUGCCAAUGGCACUGCCCGGUAGCUAAAUGCGGAAGAGAUAAGUGCUGAAAGCAUCUAAGCACGAAACUUGCCCCGAGAUGAGUUCUCCCUG
RNAcentral lists this ribosomal RNA (1458 nucleotides) under Escherichia coli. RNAcentral's name for it is "partial 23S ribosomal RNA". It matches the Rfam family "Bacterial large subunit ribosomal RNA", at positions 1376 to 2817 of the family's 2925-position model. Lineage: Bacteria; Pseudomonadati; Pseudomonadota; Gammaproteobacteria; Enterobacterales; Enterobacteriaceae. The record is from RNAcentral.